Molecule: transfer RNA, 69 nt
Filed under: Marmota monax (woodchuck)
Lineage: Eukaryota; Metazoa; Chordata; Mammalia; Rodentia; Sciuridae
Description: tRNA.Ala
Source: RNAcentral
GGAAUGUGGCUCAAGCGGUAGCGUGCUCGCCUGGCAUGCUUGAGGCUCUGGGUUCGAUACUCAGCACCA